Long non-coding RNA from Tupaia belangeri chinensis (Chinese tree shrew), 628 nucleotides. RefSeq lists it as uncharacterized. The transcript has 4 exons. The record is from RefSeq and is a predicted model, not a curated record. NCBI's taxonomy places the organism in Eukaryota, Metazoa, Chordata, Mammalia, Scandentia, Tupaiidae.
CAGGACCAUGAAAACUCAUUCACCUGGGCAAGUUUUACCAUGACAGCACAAAACUGGGGGAGUUAUUCCACACUUGAAGGAAGAGAAAAGCAUCCUGGAAGAGAUAAUGCCCAAACUGGAACCUGGAGGAUGAGGAUUUAACCAAAUGAAAUAUAGAGAUGAUGGGUCCUUGUGUAAUGGCUGCAGCUCCUGGAAAUACGUGCUCUACCAAGCCUAAGGUCACACACCUGGCUAUUGGCAGUCAGACUGGAUGCAGAUCCCAAAUCCAUCAUGUACUAGUUGUGUUAACUUAGACAACUUACAAAGCCUCUCUGUAUACUGCACAGCACAGCCAUAAGGUGAAGAGACAGGGCCAUUUCAUCCUGGCUGGAUUCCUCUCUCUCUGCUGUUGGGGAACAUGGAGCCUUGAACUCCCAACAUUUAUAAUAACGUUUAACAACAAGCGAAGAGCCCUGGUCAGAUUUCUGGAGAGAAAAGCAGUGGGAGGUUGGAAGUUACCAUUUUAUUCUUGCUUAGGAAAUGAAGCUUUUUAUUUUUUCUAGCAAUGUUGUCUCUACUGAGUUUCCUAUCAGGAAAUAUGAAGCUGGUGAUAGCCUGUUGCUGAAAUAAAGUUCAGAUUUUUUUUUUC